UGCUCAGAUUGAACGCUGGCGGCAGGCCUAACACAUGCAAGUCGAGCGGAAACGAGAAGUAGCUUGCACCUUCGGCGUCGAGCGGCGGACGGGUGAGUAAUGCAUAGGAAGUUGCCCUAACGAGGGGGAUACCAGUUGGAAACGACUGUUAAUACCGCAUAAUCUCCUUUCUGUUAAAGGAAAGAAGCAAAGCGGGGGACCUUCGGGCCUCGCGCGUUAGGAUACGCCUAUGUGGGAUUAGCUAGUUGGUGAGGUAAUGGCUCACCAAGGCGACGAUCCCUAGCUGGUCUGAGAGGAUGAUCAGCCACACUGGGACUGAGACACGGCCCAGACUCCUACGGGAGGCAGCAGUGGGGAAUAUUGCACAAUGGGCGAAAGCCUGAUGCAGCCAUGCCGCGUGUAUGAAGAAGGCCUUCGGGUUGUAAAGUACUUUCAGUUGUGAGGAAGGUUUCGUCGUUAAUAGCGGCGUUGCUUGACGUUAGCAACAGAAGAAGCACCGGCUAACUCCGUGCCAGCAGCCGCGGUAAUACGGAGGGUGCGAGCGUUAAUCGGAAUUACUGGGCGUAAAGCGCAUGCAGGUGGUUUGUUAAGUCAGAUGUGAAAGCCCGGGGCUCAACCUCGGAAGGUCAUUUGAAACUGGCAAACUAGAGUACUGUAGAGGGGGGUAGAAUUUCAGGUGUAGCGGUGAAAUGCGUAGAGAUCUGAAGGAAUACCAGUGGCGAAGGCGGCCCCCUGGACAGAUACUGACACUCAGAUGCGAAAGCGUGGGGAGCAAACAGGAUUAGAUACCCUGGUAGUCCACGCCGUAAACGAUGUCUACUUGGAGGUUGUGGCCUUGAGCCGUGGCUUUCGGAGCUAACGCGUUAAGUAGACCGCCUGGGGAGUACGGUCGCAAGAUUAAAACUCAAAAUGAAUUGACGGGGGCCCCGCACAAGCGGUGGAGCAUGUGGUUUAAUUCGAUGCAACGCGAAGAACCUUACCUACUCUUGACAUCCAGAGAAGCCAGUAGAGAUAAAGGUGUGCCUUCCGGAACUCUGAGACAGGUGCUGCAUGGCUGUCGUCAGCUCGUGUGUGAAAUGUUGGGUUAAGUCCCGCAACGAGCGCAACCCUUUAUCCUUG
This 1119-nucleotide ribosomal RNA is filed under the name marine bacterium B01. RNAcentral's name for it is "bacterial SSU rRNA". It matches the Rfam family "Bacterial small subunit ribosomal RNA", at positions 21 to 1114 of the family's 1533-position model. The record is from RNAcentral.